RNAcentral lists this ribosomal RNA (497 nucleotides) under uncultured bacterium. RNAcentral describes it as "partial 16S ribosomal RNA". It matches the Rfam family "Bacterial small subunit ribosomal RNA", at positions 28 to 507 of the family's 1533-position model. The record is from RNAcentral.
GAUGAACGCUGGCGGCGUGCCUAAUACAUGCAAGUCGAGCGAACGGACGAGAAGCUUGCUUCUCUGAUGUUAGCGGCGGACGGGUGAGUAACACGUGUAUAACCUACCUAUAAGACUGGGAUAACUUCGGGAAACCGGAGCUAAUACCGGAUGAUAUUUUGAACCGCAUGGUUCAAAAGUGAAAGACGGUCUUGCUGUCACUUAUAGAUGGAUCCGCGCUGCAUUAGCUAGUUGGUAAGGUAACGGCUUACCAAGGCAACGAUGCAUAGCCGACCUGAGAGGGUGAUCGGCCACACUGGAACGGAGACACGGUCCAGACUCCUACGGGAGGCAGCAGUAGGGAAUCUGCCGCAAUGGGCGAAAGCCUGACGGAGCAACGCCGCGUGAGUGAUGAAGGUCUUCGGAUCGUAAAACUCUGUUAUUAGGGAAGAACAUAUGUGUAAGUAACUGUGCACAUCUUGACGGUACCUAAUCAGAAAGCCACGGCUAACUACGUG